GUUAGAUCAUGGCGUUCAGGUGCUGCCAUUCUAGGGAUGGCGAUAAUUGGGAAAUCGGUGGGAAACCGAUGCUGCCCCCGCAACGGUAAUGGAGUUGGAACGCGGCGAUAAGACCACUGGGCGUUAAGCCUGGGAAGGUGCCGCAAUCAUCCGCAAGGAUCGCUCCGAAGCCCGGAAACCAGCCUGAAGGACAAAUUCGAC
This 201-nucleotide non-coding RNA is filed under the name Paramesorhizobium deserti. The record is from RNAcentral. Lineage: Bacteria; Pseudomonadati; Pseudomonadota; Alphaproteobacteria; Hyphomicrobiales; Phyllobacteriaceae.